Molecule: ribosomal RNA, 467 nt
Filed under: uncultured Pseudomonadaceae bacterium
Lineage: Bacteria; Pseudomonadati; Pseudomonadota; Gammaproteobacteria; Pseudomonadales; Pseudomonadaceae
Description: bacterial SSU rRNA
Rfam family: Bacterial small subunit ribosomal RNA
Source: RNAcentral
GACCUACGGGGGGCAGCAGUGGGGAAUAUUGGACAAUGGGCGAAAGCCUGAUCCAGCCAUGCCGCGUGUGUGAAGAAGGUCUUCGGAUUGUAAAGCACUUUAAGUUGGGAGGAAGGGCAGUAAGUUAAUACCUUGCUGUUUUGACGUUACCAACAGAAUAAGCACCGGCUAACUUCGUGCCAGCAGCCGCGGUAAUACGAAGGGUGCAAGCGUUAAUCGGAAUUACUGGGCGUAAAGCGCGCGUAGGUGGUUCGUUAAGUUGGAUGUGAAAGCCCCGGGCUCAACCUGGGAACUGCAUCCAAAACUGGCGAGCUAGAGUAUGGCAGAGGGUGGUGGAAUUUCCUGUGUAGCGGUGAAAUGCGUAGAUAUAGGAAGGAACACCAGUGGCGAAGGCGACCACCUGGGCUAAUACUGACACUGAGGUGCGAAAGCGUGGGGAGCAAACAGGAUUAGAUACCCUUGUAGUC